Molecule: long non-coding RNA, 4399 nt
Filed under: Sus scrofa (pig)
Lineage: Eukaryota; Metazoa; Chordata; Mammalia; Artiodactyla; Suidae
Description: lncRNA (ENSSSCG00065049692.1)
Source: RNAcentral
AUUCUUUUUUAAAAUUUAUUUAUUUAUUGUCUUUUUGCCUUUUCUAGGGCCGAUCCUGUGGCAUAUGGAGGUUCCCAGGCUAGGGGUCUAAUUGGAGCUAUAGCCACCGGCCUACGCCAGAGCCACAGAAACACGGGAUCCAAGCUGUGUCUGCAACCUACACCACAGCUCACAGCAACGCUGGAUCCUUAACCCACUGAGCAAGGCCAAGGAUCGAACCCUCGACCUCAUGGUUCCUAGUCAGAUUCAUUAACCACUGUGCCACAAUGGGAACUCCCUGCUUUGCAUUUUAAAGGUCUGUUUCUGCCUGAGGCUUCUCCCUGGCCGGCCAGCUUGUCUGACCAGCUCAGACCUCCUCAGGCCAGCCCCUCCUACCUCCUCGGCCUUUAGGGGAGGCUGGGGACCAGCUGCUCCAGCCCUGCCCUCCAGGCUGACCCAGGCUUCAGGGAUAGUAUUCCAAUGGGAUCCUAGGCAGGGACCUGUCAGCCCCGGGCAGCUGCGUCCCCCUAAGCUUUAUUACCCACACUGCCAGUCCUUGGGGGGUGGGGGGGCUUUGGAGACAGAGAGACAGACCCUCCCAGGCGCUUGGAAGCCAGGCACCAUGUGGUGAGAGCUGCUUAGCCAGAGUCUCAGUCCACAGCCAGCCGUGACCACCCAAUCCGGGAGUGGAAGACUUUGAGAGACCCCAGCCCCAGCCCCAGCCCCUGAGCCACCCGGCUCAGACCAACAGGAGCAGAGACAAGCGGUCUCUUCCAGGCCCUGCCAAACUGCACAUUCAAGCACACAAGAAGAGUUGUUAUUUUAAGUUGUUAGUUGGGGGGUAGUUUGUCACACAGCAAGAGAUAGCUGGGAUAGAACACCUUGAAUCCAAGCCCUGCCCUUACCAGCUAUGUGUGCUUGGGCAAGUAGCUUAACCUCUCCAAGUCUCCGUGGGGUUUUUUUUUUGGGGGGGGGGGGGUUGGUUGGUUGGUUGGCUGGUUUUGGCUGCACUUGCAGCCUGUGCAAGUUCCUGGGCCAGGGAUCAAACCUGGUCGCACAGAUAGGGAGCGGAGACGUGGAAGCCUGGCCCGAGGCCUGUGCCAUGCGUAGUGCUGGGUCCCUGUCCCAGGCCUCGAAGGAGUCCCCAGAGACCCAAGCUAGGCUGGAAGGGCUGAGGGGCUGUCUGAAGAAAGGGGUCCGUAUCCAGAGGCUCAGUGCGUCUAGGUCCAUGACCUGAGUGUAUCUGCGGAAAGGUUGGCCUCCCGGAGCCCCCGGAGCGCAGGGACCAGGGGAGCCCCUCCCACCCCAAGUCGCUCUGGGCCUUGACCACAUCCCCUCUAGGGACGUUCACAUCUCUCUCCAUCUCCUCCUCUCCCACCAAACCCAUUCUGAACCUCUCCCCGACCUCUGACCCCUCCAUCCCCCUCACCUGUCCAGAGAGGAGAAUGGUCCCUAGCUGCUGAGUUCUGGUCAGGAUCAGAGACAACUGGAGUACGCGGUAGCGCCUGUGUACUUCUAUGAGCCACACUUAAUGCAAAGUCCCUGUAGGGGACACUCCACCUGCCCUCUCCAGUGCCCAGGCAAGGUCUGGUCUGGGUGGGUGACAUGGGCCGCCACCAAGAACCCUUGGCCACCCACGGCAUGGGAUGGUGCCUGUUGCCAGGCAACAGGACUCAGCUCAGGCCCCAUGCCUUGGGGUCAGCUGCCCACCAGCUGGUGUUCUAUUUCUGGGCUGUGCUCGCUGCCUCCUGGAUGUCUCUCCUCCAUCGAGCCUGGGAGGAAGGAGGGGGCAGACUGUAUUCUGGGGGCUCCUUCAGUGGCUGUGUCCCUUGAGAGGCAGACCUGAGUGGGGGAGCUGGGGGUGAGGAAUCCCAAGCUGCCAGCAUGUUUGGGGCCCAGUGAAGGGAAGAAGCCGAGACGCAGAGCGAGUCAAUGGUGGAGUGUGGGCUCUAGAGCCCAGAUCUAUCUCCUCAUUUCUCUCCCCACUGGAGAGAUGAUGCAGACCGUCCAGAGAGGUCACGUGGCCAACCCAAGCUUGCACAGCAAGUAGGGAGCAAAGCGAGGAUUCCAGCCACACCUGUCUGUCUCAAGACAUCCUUGAUGUGCAAUGGUGGUUUGCAGGUGGGACUCCUUGGUGCCUCAGGUGUCUACCUACAGAAGUGUCUCUUGGCCUUGGAGGGGAGGUGACAGAGAAGCUGACUCACAAGGGGGACUCUUCCCCCACUUUCAUCCCCUUUAUUCGGGUCUCCCCAGGAACACAGGGAGGCUCAAAUGUUCCUGUAGAAUUGCUGACUGAUUGAGCAUCUUAAUCACAUCCGUGUAAAAACCAAGGCUCGCAGAGGAGAAGGGGCUUGCCCAAGGAGCCCAGCAAGGACGGGGGGCCAGGGCUCCCUAUCCCCCACCCAGGACUUCCAGGGUUUGGGGGCGGGAAAUGACACAGAUAGAGCACGUGAGGACUUUGCAUACACCGAACUGCAAAAUCAGAGCAGAUGCUAAAUGCACUCUUUUCACCUGCACGGGGACAUUCUCUUUCAUCUCAUCACAUCGUCUGUGCAGCACCCUGUCUGUUUGUUUCCCAUUCGUCCUGGCAUUUAGUGUCCUCAGGAAUCAUCCUGUUAUUAUCGACGCUCAUCCAGCGCCAGCCUCCCCACAGCCAGAAGGUGGGCUGAGGGGGCUGGGACGAGGUCUGUCCCCCUGAGCAACGCUCUGCUCAGUACCAGAAAUGAUGCCGCCACGUCUCCAGUGACGACAUUUGUAUCCAUCCUCUGCUUCCUAACUGAGCCCUGAUUUCCUUUUCGGGAAUUCUCUCCCCCACAUUGUAUGGAGUCCUAGUGAUUUGACAAGUCACAGGAUCAUUUCUAUAGUUCUCCUCUCCCACUACAGAAUAUAAGAAUAAUAGUUAUUACCAUAUUCAUUAUUGUACCAACUCACAUUUUUCCCACUUCACUGUACUUUAAUUUACCUUAUCAAAAUAUUUUCUGGGAGUUCCCGUUGUGGCUCAGCAGGUUAAGAACCCAACAUAGUGUCUGUGAAGAUACAGGUUCAAUUCCUGGCCUCAGUCUGUGGGUUAAGGAUCCGGUAUUGCUGCAAGCUGCAGCAUAGGUUGCGGAUACGGCUUGGACCUGGUAUUGCUGCGGCGGUGGUGAAGGUCGGCAAGCUGCAGUUCCCAUUCAGUCCCUAGCCUGGAAAUGUCCGUUUGCUGCAGGACUAACUGUAAAAAUUAAAAAAAAACCUUUUUUCAAUUAUACAUACACAUAAUUUUAGGUAUGACUUUGUGCAUUAUGAGCUCUUUGAAAACAAAGCCAGUUAACCCAGCAUCCAACUGGUAGAAAAGAAAUGUUAAAUGUAUCAUAAAUCAUGAAUAACAAAUUUUAGUAGCAAGAGUUACUCUCAAGAGUAACUUGCGAAAAGCAUUUGCUAUCCAUAAAGGAGAUUUUAUAUUUGCUGUAUUGAUUUAGACUCUGCAAGGAAAUCCCAUGAGGACAAGUGGGGCAAUAACCACUACAGGUAAAAUCCAGACCAACUAACAUGUAUUGAGCGCUUUCUGAACGGUGGGUGUUCUUCUAAGUGGUUUCUACAUAACUUCACAGCAAACCCAGAACACAGAGGCGGCUCUCAGCGCAUCUACACAGGGCCAGGGUGAACUCAGAGAUGGACUUGCUCGGGCACACGGACUGGGAUUUGAACUGAGAUGGUCUAGCUCUGGAGGCUUCACACUUUCUCACUGCCCCGGUGGGUGUCUUUUCCUCAGGCCCUGCUUCUUACCAUGUGGUAGAGCCAAGGCUGGACUUGUGACCACAUGCAGCCAAUGGGCCCUUGACUGCAGAGCCGAUGGCACAAGGAUGGAAGCGUUGGUGGAAUGGCCUCUUCUGCGGGCUGGUCCCUGAGAGUCUGGUUGCUGCCUGAUUCCAAACCUGGCUCUCCAAACUUCACUUCAAUUCUGUGAUCCCUGAUGAGCUUCCAAUAAAUUCUCCUUUUACCCAACUACCAAAGAACCUAACAGAUAGAAGACCAAGAGUGAUGUAUCAGUUACCGGUGCUGUGGAACAAAACAGCCCCCUAAAUCUAGUGGAUUAAAACAGGCAAUUAUUUCUCACAAUCCAGUGGGACUUCUGGGGAGUUCUGAUCUGAACCAGCUUGCCAGGGCUAAGAUGAUCUAGAGUGGCCUCCCUUACCUGUCCUGCCAUUGACAGGUUGGUGGGUCCAGCGCCUCGGCUGGGACCUCUCUCGUGGCCCCAUCCUCCAGGGGGCUACCUCAGCUCUUUAGAGGGUGGUCUCAGUUUCCCAAAGAGCAGCAUGUGCCUUGCAAGCCUCUGCUUGUGUUGCGCUUGCAGUUGUCCUGUUGGCCAAAGCAAGUCCCAUGGCCCUUCCUGGAGUCAAGGUGAAGGGGAAAUACCAAAGAGCAGGACGGAGGAAGGGGU